RNA transcript from Nerophis ophidion (straightnose pipefish), 479 nucleotides. It is a transcript of the gene named cytochrome b-c1 complex subunit 10-like, with no coding region annotated. The transcript has 4 exons. The record is from RefSeq and is a predicted model, not a curated record. Lineage: Eukaryota; Metazoa; Chordata; Actinopteri; Syngnathiformes; Syngnathidae.
CAAGCAUGCUAAAUUUGAUCAGGCAUGUAAAAGGCCAGCCCGGGGUCCUCAGCUACACUUUUGCAUGGAGGAGUAAACAAACGGUGAAGGUCAGAAUGUUCCAGAAAAUGCUCAAUAAGUUCGUCGGAGCCAAGAACAUUGGGAUUUUAAGAACGUGGGUACCAAACAUGGUCGCCUGGGGGUCAUUGGGCGGCGUGGCGCUUGUCCACUUCACAGACUGGCGAUUAUUCCUUGACUAUGUGCCAUACAUUAAGGGGAAGUUCAACAAGGACGAGUGAAGUCUUUUUUCCCCCAAUCAAUUGCUCGCGGGGGAGAUGGAGUCCAUCCCAGCUGUAUUUGGGCAGAAGACAAGGACCAGAACACUUUGGGACGAGCACACGGGUGGACAGCCUCGACAGGGGCCAGUUAUACUUCGAGGAUGCAUCAUGUAUAAAUGUUUUGAUCCAUGCGUAUUUAAUGUCAAUAAAUCUUGACGUGUA